CUGUCUUUUGUCCCCCCAUCAGGUGUAUAUAUAUUCCAGCGGCAGCAGAUUGGCACAAAGGCUUUUGUUUGGUAAUACAAAUUAUGGGGACCUGCGCAAAUACUUGUGCGGGUUUUUUGAUACUACAGUGGGGAAUAAGAAAGAAUCAAAAAGUUACGUUGAAAUCAGAGAAUCUCUUGGAAUAGAUAAUCCUUCAGAGAUUCUAUUUGUCACUGAUGUCUAUCAAGAAGCUACAGCCGCGAAAUCAGCAGGUCUGGACGUGAUAAUUUCUAUCCGGCCCGGAAAUGGACCUCUUCCCGGGAAUCACGGGUUCAAGACUGUUAAGUCAUUUUCAGAAAUUUAAGUAGGGAUUUAGUUUACUGUAAACUUCUCAUUUUCUUGUGCCAUAAACACAUGAUCCCAGGAGAAACAUUAAAUCAGGUUAUUUGUAGGCAAACUACUGAUAACUUUCUGUUUUUUGCUUGCUUGGGUUUUCGGUGUAUUUCACUUACAUAUAAUGAAUAUUAUGUGCAAUAAUGUAGAUGGUGCUUUCUGAUAUUUAUCCUUCAAUAACAAGAGUUGGUUGCA
This is a long non-coding RNA of Olea europaea var. sylvestris, 567 nucleotides long. RefSeq lists it as uncharacterized. The record is from RefSeq and is a predicted model, not a curated record. NCBI's taxonomy places the organism in Eukaryota, Viridiplantae, Streptophyta, Magnoliopsida, Lamiales, Oleaceae. The transcript is spliced from 3 exons.